CGGCACGGGUGAGUAACACGUAUCCAACCUGCCGUCUACUCUUGGACAGCCUUCUGAAAGGAAGAUUAAUACAAGAUGGCAUCAUGAGUCCGCAUGUUCACAUGCUUAAAGGUAUUCCGGUAGACGAUGGGGAUGCGUUCCAUUAGAUAGUAGGCGGGGUAACGGCCCACCUAGUCUUCGAUGGAUAGGGGUUCUGAGAGGAAGGUCCCCCACAUUGGAACUGAGACACGGUCCAA
This 236-nucleotide ribosomal RNA is filed under the name uncultured bacterium. Its description in RNAcentral is "partial 16S ribosomal RNA". It matches the Rfam family "Bacterial small subunit ribosomal RNA", at positions 100 to 334 of the family's 1533-position model. The record is from RNAcentral.